GCGUACCUUUUGUAUAAUGGGUCAGCGACUUAUAUUCUGUAGCAAGGUUAACCGUAUAGGGGAGCCGAAGGGAAACCGAGUCUUAACUGGGCGUUAAGUUGCAGGGUAUAGACCCGAAACCCGGUGAUCUAGCCAUGGGCAGGUUGAAGGUUGGGUAACACUAACUGGAGGACCGAACCGACUAAUGUUGAAAAAUUAGCGGAUGACUUGUGGCUGGGGGUGAAAGGCCAAUCAAACCGGGAGAUAGCUGGUUCUCCCCGAAAGCUAUUUAGGUAGCGCCUCGUGAACUCAUCUUCGGGGGUAGAGCACUGUUUCGGCUAGGGGGUCAUCCCGACUUACCAACCCGAUGCAAACUGCGAAUACCGAAGAAUGUUAUCACGGGAGACACACGGCGGGUGCUAACGUCCGUCGUGAAGAGGGAAACAACCCAGACCGCCAGCUAAGGUCCCAAAGUCACAGUUAAGUGGGAAACGAUGUGGGAAGGCUCAGACAGCCAGGAUGUUGGCUUAGAAGCAGCCAUCAUUUAAAGAAAGCGUAAUAGCUCACUGGUCGAGUCGGCCUGCGCGGAAGAUGUAACGGGGCUAAACUGUGCACCGAAGCUGCGGCAGCGACGCUUAUGCGUUGUUGGGUAGGGGAGCGUUCUGUAAGCCUGCGAAGGUGUCCUGUGAGGGAUGCUGGAGGUAUCAGAAGUGCGAAUGCUGACAUAAGUAACGAUAAUGCGGGUGAAAAGCCCGCUCGCCGGAAGACCAAGGGUUCCUGUCCAACGUUAAUCGGGGCAGGGUGAGUCGACCCCUAAGGCGAGGCCGAAAGGCGUAGUCGAUGGGAAACGGGUUAAUAUUCCCGUACUUGGUGUUACUGCGAAGGGGGGACGGAGAAGGCUAUGUUGGCCGGGCGACGGUUGUCCCGGUUUAAGCGUGUAGGCUGGUUUUCCAGGCAAAUCCGGAAAAUCAAG
RNAcentral lists this ribosomal RNA (952 nucleotides) under Salmonella enterica. RNAcentral's name for it is "partial 23S ribosomal RNA". It matches the Rfam family "Bacterial large subunit ribosomal RNA", at positions 599 to 1554 of the family's 2925-position model. RNAcentral also lists the same sequence under 2 other names. Lineage: Bacteria; Pseudomonadati; Pseudomonadota; Gammaproteobacteria; Enterobacterales; Enterobacteriaceae. The record is from RNAcentral.